RNAcentral lists this ribosomal RNA (255 nucleotides) under uncultured bacterium. Its description in RNAcentral is "partial 16S ribosomal RNA". It matches the Rfam family "Bacterial small subunit ribosomal RNA", at positions 524 to 776 of the family's 1533-position model. The record is from RNAcentral.
UACGUAGGGGGCUAGCGUUGUCCGGAAUCAUUGGGCGUAAAGAGCGUGUAGGCGGUCCGGUAAGUCCGCUGUGAAAGUCGGGGGCUCAACCCUCGAAUGCCGGUGGAUACUGUCGGGCUAGAGUGCGGAAGAGGCGAGUGGAAUUCCUGGUGUAGCGGUGAAAUGCGCAGAUAUCAGGAGGAACACCUAUUGCGAAGGCAGCUCGCUGGGACGUAACUGACGCUGAGACGCGAAAGCGUGGGGGGAGCAAACAGG